Molecule: ribosomal RNA, 510 nt
Filed under: uncultured Desulfobulbus sp.
Lineage: Bacteria; Pseudomonadati; Thermodesulfobacteriota; Desulfobulbia; Desulfobulbales; Desulfobulbaceae
Description: bacterial SSU rRNA
Rfam family: Bacterial small subunit ribosomal RNA
Source: RNAcentral
CGCCUUGCCAGCCCGCUCAGAACUCAAAGGAAUUGACGGGGCCCGCACAAGCGGUGGAGUAUGUGGUUUAAUUCGAUGCAACGCGAAGAACCUUACCUGGUCUUGACAUCCCGGAGACCCUUAGGAAACGUAGGGGGUGCUUCCAUCUGGAAGAAUCUGGAGACAGGUGCUGCAUGGCUGUCGUCAGCUCGUGUCGUGAGAUGUUGGGUUAAGUCCCGCAACGAGCGCAACCCUUGCCUUUAGUUGCCAGCAGUUCGGCUGGGCACUCUAAAGGGACUGCCGGUGUUAAACCGGAGGAAGGUGGGGAUGACGUCAAGUCCUCAUGGCCUUUAUGACCAGGGCUACACACGUACUACAAUGGCCGAUACAAAGGGCAGCGACACUGCGAGGUGAAGCCAAUCCCGUAAAAUCGGUCUCAGUCCGGAUUGGAGUCUGCAACUCGACUCCAUGAAGUUGGAAUCGCUAGUAAUCGUGGAUCAGCAUGCCACGGUGAAUACGUUCCCGGGCCUU